RNAcentral lists this ribosomal RNA (253 nucleotides) under uncultured bacterium. Its description in RNAcentral is "partial 16S ribosomal RNA". It matches the Rfam family "Bacterial small subunit ribosomal RNA", at positions 524 to 776 of the family's 1533-position model. The record is from RNAcentral.
UACGGAGGGUGCGAGCGUUGUUCGGAAUCACUGGGCGUAAAGCGCGUGUAGGCGGCUCGAUAAGUCUGAUGUGAAAGCCCGGGGCUCACCCCCGGAAGUGCAUUGGAUACUGUUGAGCUCGAGUCCCGGAGAGGAGAGUGGAAUUCCUGGUGUAGCGGUGAAAUGCGUAGAUAUCAGGAGGAACACCGGUGGCGAAGGCGGCUCUCUGGACGGUGACUGACGCUGAGAUGCGAAAGCGUGGGGAGCAAACAGG